CAACAGCUCAUUAAUGAGAGGUUGACAGUCCUGUGGGUGAAAACAGCUCAUUAAUGAGAGGUCGGCAGUCCUGUGGGUGAAAACAGCUCGUUGAUGAGAGGUCGGCAGUCCUGUGGGUGAAAACAGCUCAUUAAUGAGAGGUUGACAGUCCUGUGGGUGAAAACAGCUCAUUAAUGAGAGGUCGGCAGUCCUGUGGGUGAAAACAGCUCGUUGAUGAGAGGUCGGCAGUCCUGUGGGUGAAAACAGCUCAUUAAUGAGAGGUUGACAGUCCUGUGGGUGAAAACAGCUCAUUAAUGAGAGGUCGGCAGUCCUGUGGGUGAAAACAGCUCGUUGAUGAGAGGUCGGCAGUCCUGUGGGUGAAAACAGCUCAUUAAUGAGAGGUUGACAGUCCUGUGGGUGAAAACAGCUCAUUAAUGAGAGGUCGGCAGUCCUGUGGGUGAAAACAGCUCGUUGAUGAGAGGUCGGCAGUCCUGUGGGUGAAAACAGCUCAUUAAUGAGAGGUUGACAGUCCUGUGGGUGAAAACAGCUCAUUAAUGAGAGGUCGGCAGUCCUGUGGGUGAAAACAGCUCGUUGAUGAGAGGUCGGCAGUCCUGUGGGUGACAACAGCUCAUUAAUGAGAGGUUGACAGUCCUGUGGGUGAAAACAGCUCAUUGAUGAGAGGGUGGCAGUCCUGUGGGUGAAACAGCUCGUUGAUGAGAGGUCGGCAGUCCUGUGGGUGAAAACAGCUCGUUGAUGAGAGGUCGGCAGUCCUGUGGGUGACAACAGCUCAUUGAUGAGAGGUCGGCAGUCCUGUGGGUGAAAACAGCUCAUUAAUGAGAGGUUGACAGUCCUGUGGGUGAAAACAGCUCAUUAAUGAGAGGUCGGCAGUCCUGUGGGUGAAAACAGCUCGUUGAUGAGAGGUCGGCAGUCCUGUGGGUGAAAACAGCUCAUUGAUGAGAGGUCGGCAGUCCUGUGGGUGAAAACAGCUCGUUGAUGAGAGGUCGGCAGUCCUGUGGGUGAAAACAGCUCGGUGAUGAGGUCGGCAGUCCUGUGGGUGAAAACAGCUCGGUGAUGAGAGGUCGGCAGUCCUGUAGGUGAAAACAGCUCGGUGAUGAGAGGUCGGCAGUCCUGUGGGUGAAAACAGCUCGGUGAUGAGAGGUCGGCAGUCCUGUGGGUGACGACAGCUCGGUGAUGAGGUCGGCAGUCCUGUGGGUGAAAACAGCUCGGUGAUGAGAGGUCGGCAGUCCUGUGGGUGAAAACAGCUCGGUGAUGAGAGGUCGGCAGUCCUGUGGGUGACGACAGCUCGGUGAUGAGGUCGGCAGUCCUGUGGGUGACAACAGCUCAUUAAUGAGAGGUCGGCAGUCCUGUGGGUAACAACAGCUCGUUGAUGAGAGGUCGGCAGUCCUGUGGGUGAAAACAGCUCAUUGAUGAGAGGGUGGCAGUCCUGUGGGUGAAACAGCUCAUUGAUGAGAGGGUGGCAGUCCUGUGGGUGACAACAGCUCAUUGAUGAGAGGUCGGCAGUCCUGUGGGUGACAACAGCUCAUUGAGAGGUCGGCAGUCCUGUGGGUGACAACAGCUCAUUGAUGAGGUCGGCAGUCCUGUGGGUGAAAACAGCUCCUUGAUGAGAGGUCGGCAGUCCUGUG
Oncorhynchus keta (chum salmon) is the source of this 1622-nucleotide long non-coding RNA. RefSeq lists it as uncharacterized. Lineage: Eukaryota; Metazoa; Chordata; Actinopteri; Salmoniformes; Salmonidae. The record is from RefSeq and is a predicted model, not a curated record. The transcript has 5 exons.